RNAcentral lists this long non-coding RNA (3115 nucleotides) under Nicotiana benthamiana. Its description in RNAcentral is "long non-coding RNA (NBEN_LNC003683)". The record is from RNAcentral. Lineage: Eukaryota; Viridiplantae; Streptophyta; Magnoliopsida; Solanales; Solanaceae.
UUAUGCAUACCUCUACCAUUUGUAUAGCAGGAAAACAUAUAACUAAUGUUUAACUAAAAUACAAAUAUAUUAUAACUAAAUACAUAAAUUUCUGCCAUUUCAUUUCAUAUUCAAGGCGUACAUCAAAAAAAUUCAAAGUGGUGUACCUAGUAUUGGAAUACAAAGAAGAUUAAGAUCAGUAGGAAGCAAUGGCAGCACACACACAUCAAUAGUAGUUCAACAACACGGGAGAAACCCAGUAACAACGGGAAUAACAGAAAACCCAGGAGAUUGCAAACAAACAAAAAAAAUAAGGAAUUUCCAAACCAACCGAAAACCAAUAGUAAACCCAAGCAACGCUACUUGAAUGCCAGUAGUAUUAGAAAACAAGCAGAUACUAACAGAGAAAUAACCUGUUGCCAAAAAUAGUCACUUCAAAUUUUUAACACUCAGGAAAAAGAAGCUUGAAACUUCAAUGAACAAUAGAAGUUGAUGUUGAUUGUUAACAGUGAAGAAGAACAUACUUUUUCUUUAUUUUCUAACUUUCAAACACUCAAAAAUUCUUAAGAUUCAAAGUCUUUUUCUUUUUUCCAUCUAGUAAUGAAAAUAUUUUUCUCUUUAAAUUUAGUCCUUGUAUACCCAAAGCAAGACUCUUUCCUCUAUUCUUUUAACUAUUAACUUUUACUUUUAAAUUAUUAUUACUAACCAUUUUACCUCUUUUACUUUCCAGCCCAUAUUCUUCUAACUAUGUGGCUUUUUAACCUUUUAUUGUUACAUAUACUAUAUCUGAUUUUAAUUAAGUAAAAGUAGUCAACACGAUCCUGCAUUUUAUGUGGAAGAGACACUAAAGAAACACACGACCAUUUAUACUUUGAAUGUUUAUACUCCCAAGCACUGUGGCAAGGUAUGUUACAAUGGUUGAAGUAUCAAAGAACGACAGGUACAUGGAAAACAGAAGUGUAAUGGUUAACUGCUAAUGUUAACAGCAGAAACCCCAGAAAAACCAUCCUAGGUGUGGUGUUUGCAGCAGUAGUUUACAACAUCUGGAUGGAAAGGAACANNNNNNNNNNNNNNNNNNNNNNNNNNNNNNNNNNNNNNNNNNNNNNNNNNNNNNNNNNNNNNNNNNNNNNNNNNNNNNNNGAAAAGGAACAACAGAAGGUUUCAACAAUCAAGCAGAGACGCCAAAGAUCGAGCAAAGGAGAUUGCACUUCAAGUGCACUUUACUGGCAUAAAGCUACCUAAAUGGUCACCCAUUUUACAGAACAUUAACAGCUAUCCUUCGUGUGAGUAUCCAAAAUUGUAGCAACUUUCUCUCUGUGAUAGGAUAUUAGCUUAACAACAAUAGUUGUAGAGUUUCAAAUUGAUUGUACUGUUGAGAUCUGUUCUAGAGUCCAAAAGAACAGAUGAUGUAAAUUUGCCAAAUAGUUGAAAUAAAACAAAAAAUUUCUUCUAAAAAAAGUAGUCAACACGAACCCCACAGUCUCACCUAUUUAGUGGUCAAAGAAGACCUUUUAUUAUUACCCCCCUUUUUCCUUUACAUCAUUAUGUAUUAUCCCCCACAAACCCUUGUCCCCUCUUAUUUUAAUUAAAUGUUACGGGCCCACAUUUAAUUAAUUCCCAAAAUACCCCCAAAAUUAUUGAAAAUUAUUAUUCUUUCCCAUCAUCUAUAUCCAAUCUUUCCUAAUCAAUUCAAACAAUUAAUAUCACCAAACAAACUCCUAAUCAACAACAUUCAGGAAUCACUUCAACAAAGUAAGAUUUAUAUCAACAUUUGAAGAUCAUAUUCAUAUUUGAAAAAGAACAAUCUAGUAGAUUUAAAUUACCAAACUCAACAUCAGUUGAACUUCAAAUUAAAAUCAACAGCAUUAUAACCAAGAUGAAAGAUUCAAGUGAUUUAAACUAACACACUUCUAUAUUAAAACUAAACAAGAACAAAUAAAUGAAAAUUGGGUUGGUUAUUGAACCGCCCAUUUAGCGAGAAAUUUAAAACAAACUGAACUAGGAGUGAAUCUUAUCAACACUCUAAAUCAAAACUAUACAAAAAUGUAAGAUUACUGACAGUGAGCUAAAUUCCUAUGGAUUAUCACAUGACACAUCAAAGAGUAUAACCCAUGACAAUCAAAUAAACGAUGAACAAAACUGAAAUACAACUAAGAAAAACAAAUAACAAUAUCAAAAAUAGAACAAAAGAAGAGGAAAAUACCUCAUGAAAUCAGAACAAGGCGAACUCAAGCUUGAACUUAUCCGUUUCCCCUCUGCUAUUUCUCGUCAUUAUUUUGUAUAUUUUUAGGAUUGUUGAUGAUCGGACAAGGUGAAGACGAGGACUGUUGACGAGCAGUUAGUGUUCAACGACGAGCAUGGUGUUAGACGACUCGACUGGGCCGGCGUGACUGCUGAUCGUUUGGUCAUUUGGAUCUAUCUUCAUGGUUGUUUGGAUUGGUCGUUGGUGUGAGUUGACAGAGGAAGAAGAAAACGACGCAGCAGGGGGUGGUCGUUUGGUUGCGUGAAGGAGACAUGAAGGUGGUUCGCUUGAGAUGAAGGUUUUGGAGAUGAUGAAGACGAUCAACGACUGGGUGGUCGACGAUGGGAGGCAGUGUGGGUUCGACUGGUUGGAGAUGAUGACCAGGCAGGGGGUUCGUUUUCGUCGUUUGAUUGGUUAGCGAUAUGGGUGGUCGUUUGGAACAAGGGGUGAAGCAGACUGGUUCGUCGGUGGUCGUGGGUGACGAUGCUGGGCAAUGAAGUGGUCGACUGGACUGCUUCAAACAUUGGUCUGGACGUUUCUGCGUUCUUGUGGAAUUUGGUUGCUCGUGGAGGUUGAUGGGGCAGCAACGUCAUUGCUGGGGUCUUCUGGUCGACGGGCUGUGCGAUGGUGAGAAGCUAGUUGGGUAGUUUUUCGGCGAACUGAGAGUGAUGGGGUGGUGGGGAAGAUGAGGAAGAACGGAGGGGGCAGCAUGGUGGUCAGAAAUGAUGGGUUUCCGACGUGGGGGUGGUUUCUAGCUAAGGUUUUGAGGGUGUGUUUGGAGAAGAUGAAGAGAGGGUGGUGGGUGCUUAGGUGUGACGGCCAGAGAGAGUUUAGGGUGUGUUUAGGGUUAGGUUAUUUGGUUAAAUGAAAAAAGAAUCUGAAAAAUCAAAAGAG